Molecule: unclassified non-coding RNA, 186 nt
Filed under: uncultured cyanobacterium
Lineage: Bacteria; Bacillati; Cyanobacteriota
Description: partial 16S-23S ribosomal RNA intergenic spacer
Source: RNAcentral
CGGUUCGAGUCCGCUUACCUCCACUGAUUAACUACCUGAUAACUCAAUUUGGAGAUUAUCGUUUGUUGAAUGUGAUUUAGAGUUGUUCCUCUGAUUGGAACCUAGCUUCCUAUCAUUCCUUAGAUUAUUAGGCUGAUAAGACGCUGGGCUCACUAAAUAUUUUAGGAUAUUUAGUUUGUUUCAGUA